UCCUCAAAAUCACUUUCAACUGAAUACCGGAAGAAUUGCGUUUCAUUGAAGUAGUUCGUUAUAAAACACAUCUCAACCAAUCGUGUUCCAUCACCAUAGAAAGUUCCAUCGCACAACACCUAAACCUUCACUCCUGUUGAGUAGUUUCCAACCAGCCGGCUAGUCACUGCUGUACCACCGGUUGGGUGUACACCGGCGCCUUCAGGUUCGAUCACUCGGAAGCCCAAAACCGUUGGUUUCGUUCGGAUCUAUUUGGCCGUUAAGCCACCGCACACCUUCCGGUUCGAUCAACUGCGGCCGCUGCCGUAAAUUCUUUCUCGUCUCUGUGUGAGCCAGCCGCCAAAUCAUUGUUCUAUUGUCGUCAAUCCGUAGCCGUAAACCAUUGAUUCCUCAUCUGUAUCGCUUAGUUAUUAAGGUUCUCGUAUUUUUCAAGAGAGACACUAGGGUGGCAUACACUAGUUGAAAUCUACGAUUAUUGUUAUCCGCUAAUUAAGGUACUCAGGGGAACUUGGGGAAAAGUGCGAAGAGAGAAAACUAAAUGGCUAGAUUUGGAAAUAAGGAGUAUAAAUAAAUUGCUAUUUAAAUUUUAGACAUUUUUUUUAUUUUCAUUAAAAUACGUUGUGUGGUUUUAAAUUUUUAAACCUUUGGAGUUAAUGUUUUAUUUGAGUUAAGUUU
Helianthus annuus (common sunflower) is the source of this 675-nucleotide long non-coding RNA. RefSeq lists it as uncharacterized. Lineage: Eukaryota; Viridiplantae; Streptophyta; Magnoliopsida; Asterales; Asteraceae. The transcript is spliced from 5 exons. The record is from RefSeq and is a predicted model, not a curated record.